This is a long non-coding RNA of Eriocheir sinensis (Chinese mitten crab), 4083 nucleotides long. RefSeq lists it as uncharacterized. The transcript is spliced from 2 exons. The record is from RefSeq and is a predicted model, not a curated record. NCBI's taxonomy places the organism in Eukaryota, Metazoa, Arthropoda, Malacostraca, Decapoda, Varunidae.
UCUCUCUCUUGUCAAGGCCUAAUGAUUGAAAAGAUACUUGUAGCUAUUGUAAAAAGGCGAUAAGGAAGGAGGAGGAGGAGGAGGAAGAGAAGGAGAAAGAUGAUUAGGAAGAGGAGUAAGAGGAAAAAGAAGAUAAUGAUUAGGAAGAGGAAGAUGAGAGAAAGGCGAUGAUGAUUACGAGGAAGAGAAGAAAGCAAAUGAUUAGUAAGAGGAAGAGGAGGAGAAAGAUGAUGAUCUGAGGAGGAGGAUGGAAAAAGACAUGAAAAAUGGGAAGUAAAAAUGUUUAGUCUACGUGCAUCUAUAAAUCCCGAAGUGCUUUGAUGGUGCACCGCCUUGGAUGUCACCGAGAUGUAGACAAGAAAAAUAGAAUAUACGACCAACAGACGCAAAAUGUAACCCUCGUUGGACAGUUAGUAUAAUCCCCUUAAUCCGGCGCAUAUUGUACCCUCUAUAAGACUCACUUGUACCGUAGAAAACAGCACAUGUAUCCUUUUUAGACAGAAGAUGCACCCCUGAAGAAGCGUUAAAAUAUGGCCCUUGUUAGCAAGUAAAUGAAACAGAGUCGACCAAGUUACGCUCCCUAAAGAACCACCAGUAGUUACCUCCAUUGGAUCCGCGGAAGACAGCCACUCUGAAGACACGAAUGUACCCUGUUAGCGACGCGAAUAUAGCCACUUUAGACACACUGACGUCCUCUUUUAGGCACGUUAACUAUAGCUACUUCGAAGACACAAAACAAAUAUGUAGCUUCAUAACACACACACACACACAUACGUACACAGUUAUAAGCAAAGCAUAUCCAUUCAAGACACCCAUAAAUGUACCCUUUUAGCAAAUAUAGCCACUUAAGACACACAAACGUCCACUUUUAGACACGUUAACUAUUGGUACUUCGAAGACACACACGUACUACAUCCUGAUACAGACACAACAUAUAGCCACUUAAGACACACAAACGUUCCCACUUAGACACGUUAACUACAACUACUUCGAAGACACACUCGUACAUCCUGAUACAGACACAACAUAUAGCCACUUAAGACACACAAACGUUCCCACUUAGACACGUUAACUACAGCUACUUCGAAGACACACUCGUACACCCUGAUACAGACACAACAUAUAGCCACUUAAGACACACACACACGUACCCAGUUACACGCAAAACAUAUCUAUUUAAGACACCCAUAAAUGUACCCUGUUAGCGACGCAUAUACGUAUAGCCUGCCACUUGAGAGACACGUGAAUGUACCCCCUCCGCCAGCGACAGAAAAUUCACCAUAAUUAAGAACCACAGAAUAUACCUUCCUUGGCGACGCAGGUAGCGGGGAGGAAGCGGGGCGUGGCGGGGACGUAAAAACAGUGAAGUCAAGCAUGGCAGGCAGGCAGGAGGCAGUCGGGCAGGAAGGGGAGGAAAACAUUGCCUCAUUUUCUUCAACAUUUCUUUCUUUUUCUUUUCGACUCCCAAGCACACGCACUAGACAAGGCUUUCAUGGGGAUUUUGGGUAUUUCCAUGGGUACUCUUAUGGCCCUGGUGGUAGUUUGACCCUUCUUCUGUACCAUGCACCUAAAUAAGCGCUCAAGAAAACCUGAUUAAUUUCUCUCCCGGCCUUGGAAAUAGUUGAUUUGAGAGGCGGAAGCGUCUGAGAAUACGGACCUAAUUGAAGCAUUCACCUCGUAAGUAAGAGAGAGAGAGAGAGAGAGAGAGAGAGAGAGAGAGAGAGUAUAGAUAAACGCGAUUAAUAAAAAAAAUGCAUGCUUAAAAUAACGUAAGCAUUUACCGAUGAAGAUCUAGAAAAAAAUGACAGUAAUAAUCGGAAUAAAAAGUGCGUUCUCUAUUACUUAACAAAAUUACAACCAACUCCAACUCGAAAACGAAGAAAACAUACUAAUACAGAGGAGACUAUUAUAAAGCUAACAUAAUACCAAACGAUACAGUUCAAAGCAAAGAAUAACAGAAAAUGAUGUUAGCUUAACGUAUACUACUCCACACACCUUUUUUUUAUUAUUUGUAUAGUGGUAGAUUAUCUUUUUUCCUUCUCUUUUACUCUUUCUCUUUAAUUCUCUUUAGUUAGGCUGGACGGAGUUAAAAAUGUGCCGAUAUGGAAGAGAGAGAGAGAGAGAGAGAGAGAGAGAGAGAGAACUUACCUCUUAGUAUGACUGUUGCUGGGUAUAAUGAUAUGUAUAGGUGUGUGUGUGUGUGUGUGUGUGUGUGUGUGUGUGUGUGUGUGUGUGUGUGUGUGUUUAUAUAAUUCUUGCCUCCAGUAACGCAGGAAGGAAAGGGUCAAGGCUUGUAAGAUAAGAGGAUGUGUAGUACAAUGGAAUUUCCCGUGUGUGUGUGUGUGUGUGUGUGUGUGUGUGUGUGUGUGUGUGUGAAGGGAAGAAAACGGAGAAGUAUAAGAAGUAUGUGUUUGGAAAGUGAAAGGAAGAGGAGGAGGAGGAGGACAAGAAAGGUAGGAGGAAAUGAAAGAAGAGGAGGAGGAGGAGGAGGAGGAUGUUCUUUUCUCACAUAACAACAUAAAAAGAGAGGAAUAGUCAAGUUUACGUGGUGGUGGGGGAGAGAGAGAGAGAGAGAGAGAGAGAGAGAAAACCAAUACCACAACUCUUACAUAAGAGAGACACACCAUUUACAUAAAGCACUCAUACAGGGUCGGGGAGUCAAUCGUCUAUCGUGUGCAGUAUUAAUCCAACUCUUACUCCUUGGUGGCGUGGAAGUUACUUAUUUAGAGAACUCGUUAAGCAGCCACUGGACUAAUGAACGAGCAUCAAAGAGGGUUACUAUACCAUUUAUUGACUUACCUAAUUAGUGGCCCUGUUAGAGAAUCAUAAAGAGAAGAUGGGAAGCAGUAAAGGGAGAGUAGGGAAGAAGGAAGGUUCGGUAGAUAAUGAAGAGAAGAUGGGAAGAAAAAAACGAAGGGUAGAUUAUGAAGAUGAGAAGAAGAAGGAGGAAAGUGUAGGGUAGGAGGGAGGUUUGGUAGAGGAUGAAGAGAAGAAGAAAAGAAGACGAAGACGCAGGAAAGAGUAUAGGGAAGGACUUAGGUUUCGUAGAAGAUGAAAAGAAGAAGAAGAGAAGGAAAGAGUAUAAGGAAGGAGGCUUGGUAGAGGAUGAAAAGAAGAAGAAAAAGAAGGAAAGAGUAAGGAUGGAAGGGGUUAGGUUUGGUAGAGGAUGAAAAAAUAAGAGAAAUAGAAGGAAAAAGUAGGGAAGUAAGUAGGUUUGGUAGAGGAUGAAAAGAAGAAGAAGUAGAAGGAAAGAGUAAGGAUGGAAGGGGUUAGGUUUGGUAGAGGAUGAAAAAAUAAGAGAAAUAGAAGGAAAAAGUAGGGAAGUAAGUAGGUUUGGUAGAGGAUGAAAAGAAGAAGAGAAGUAGAAGGAAAGAGUAGGGAAUUAAGGAGGUUUGGUAGAGGAUGGAUAGAAGCAGAAGAGAAGGAAAGAGUAGGGAAGGAGUUAGGUUUGGUAGAGGAUGAAAAGAAGAAGAGGAGAAGUAGAAGGAAAGUAGGGAAGUAAGGAGGUUUGGUAGAGGAUGAAUAGAAGCAGAAGCGAAGGAAAGAGUUUGGAAGUAAGGAGGUUUGGUAGAAGAUGAAUAGAAGAAGAGAAGUAGAAGGAAAGAGUAGGGAAUUAAGGAGGUUUGGUAGAGGAUGAAUAGAAGCAGAAGAGAAGGAAAGACUAGGGAAGUAAGGAGGUUUCGUAGAAGAUGAAUAGAAGCAGAAGAGAAGGAAAGAGUAGGGAAGGAGUUAGGUUUGGUAGAGGAUGAAAAGAAGAAGAGGAGAAGUAGAAGGAAAGAGUAGGGAAUGAGUUAGGUUUGGUAGAUCAUGAAGAGAAGAAGAAGAAGACGAAGUGAAUCAGACAUAUACCCAGUCUCCAAAACAAUCAACACCACAGAGUAAACAAAUCACGACUCAAAUCAUCAUUCAUACAGUCAUUCACUUAUUCAUUCAGAUAGUCAGUUAGAGAAUGAAUGAGUCAAACUUUCAUGAGCCAUACACAUCCGAAGACUCAAACAGACGCAUUUUCAUUAAUUUUUUUUUCACGCCCUUGAACUAUCUGAAAAAAAAAAAAAUCGAAGUAAACAAACAAGAUCGAUGUAA